CCUCCUUCUCCUUGUUCUUUUUUUUGUGGUGCCAGAGGCUGAACCCCGUGCCCUCAUAUUGAACUAUAUUUCCCAAUCCUUUUCUUUUUUAUUUUGGGACAGGGUCUUAGUAAAUCACUGUCUUCCUCAGACUGGGUUUGGACUUGCCUUGGUCUCCCAGAUUAUUGGGACGACAGGUGUGCACCACCACACUGGCGACUGCUUCAUCCUUAGAAUCACCAUAGCAUCCCCGUGAGGCCUUCUCUUUCAGUUAAAGUUUCUGCCACCCCUGCCCUCUGCUGGCCUCCAGGGCCUCGCACCCGGAGACUUCCUGUGGAGCCUUGGGCAGCAGUGUUUCCUGAUCUUUCUCUUCUCCAGCACUUCUUAAUUCUUGCUUCACAUUCCUUGCUGCAGGCUACACUUGCAGUCCUCCACGCGUUGACACAAGCGAUCAUUUUCUUGGCAUCGGUACUGUUUCAGUGAAUUUCCACCAGGAUAUUUUUACGGUAUCUGAAGGAAAAAUGACGGUUCAACCUUGGGAAGAAAAGUCGGCUGAUAAUUUCACAGCAGGAGGCUGGAGGAGGAGCCUCUCUAAGACAGCAGAACAGUGGCUGUGGAUCUGCUGGUUCUGAUUCGUUCAAAAUUAACAGACGCCGGAGGCACUGACCAUGAAAUGGGACAUCUGGCUUCAUCCCUGACCUCGAACACCCCCUUCCUGUGCACUAGAAUAGACAGCUGGAUGAAUCUGAAGGGUCAGCAGAGGCCAGUGGACUUUGGAAAUUAUGGAUCUUUAGGUCAUCUGUUGUAUGCAUCCACUCUGACAAACACUGCUUCUAACAACCUUGCCAAGUUGGUAAAUUUAAGUAAAUAUUUCUCUUGCCUUCCUGUACCAAGAAGUAAAGAGUUAACUAAAUUUCUCAAGGUUAUGGUUCAUCUGGGUAUCAAAAAAUGUUUAGGGUUUUGAAUCUUUCUAUUUGACCACAUUACUUUCCGUCAGGGGAUUUUACAUUGACUUUUUCAAGUGCCAAACGCUUCUUUAAAAAAGUGCAGGUUGGACUUGUGAACUAAGGAAAAUCAUUUGCAGGGACAGAUUUUCAAAUUCCUAUCAAUAGGGCAAAUCACCUUAAAGUGGCAUAAAACAUCUCAAAAGCGUUUCAAAGUCACAUCACAAGGCUCUGUGAAUCUUCAGAGCUUCAAACAAUUUUCACACAAAGAACAUACUUUUGAAGGUUAAGGAAAGGAG
Molecule: long non-coding RNA, 1222 nt
Filed under: Fukomys damarensis (Damara mole-rat)
Lineage: Eukaryota; Metazoa; Chordata; Mammalia; Rodentia; Bathyergidae
Description: lncRNA (ENSFDAG00000031782.1)
Source: RNAcentral